CAGUAGCCACGGGAAUACGUAGGGUGCAAGCGUUAAUCGGAAUUACUGGGCGUAAAGCGUGCGCAGGCGGUUUGUUAAGACAGAUGUGAAAUCCCCGGGCUUAACCUGGGAACUGCAUUUGUGACUGGCAAGCUAGAGUAUGGCAGAGGGGGGUGGAAUUCCGCGUGUAGCAGUGAAAUGCGUAGAUAUGCGGAGGAACACCGAUGGCGAAGGCAGCCCCCGGCCAAUACUGACGCUCAUGCACGAAAGCGUGGGGAGCAAACAGGAUUAGAUACCCCAGUAGUCCCUGUCUCUUAUACAC
RNAcentral lists this ribosomal RNA (301 nucleotides) under uncultured bacterium. RNAcentral's name for it is "partial 16S ribosomal RNA". It matches the Rfam family "Bacterial small subunit ribosomal RNA", at positions 509 to 809 of the family's 1533-position model. The record is from RNAcentral.